This 253-nucleotide ribosomal RNA is filed under the name uncultured bacterium. Its description in RNAcentral is "partial 16S ribosomal RNA". It matches the Rfam family "Bacterial small subunit ribosomal RNA", at positions 524 to 776 of the family's 1533-position model. The record is from RNAcentral.
UACAGAGGUCUCAAGCGUUGUUCGGAUUCAUUGGGCGUAAAGGGUGCGUAGGCGGCGCGGUAAGUCGGGUGUGAAAUCUCGGAGCUUAACUCCGAAACUGCAUUCGAUACUGCCGUGCUUGAGGACUGGAGAGGAGACUGGAAUUUACGGUGUAGCGGUGAAAUGCGUAGAUAUCAGGAGGAACACCUGUGGUGUAGACAGCUUACUGGACCACGACUGACGCUGAGGCACGAAAGCGUGGGUAGCAAACAGG